AAUAGCAUUACUAUACCUUCCCUAUUCAUUGCGGGUUGGUUAUUUGUCAGUACGGGUUUAGCUUAUGACGUGUUUGGAAGUCCUAGGCCAAACGAGUAUUUCACGGAAAGCCGACAAGGAAUUCCGUUAAUAACCGACCGUUUUGAUUCUUUAGAACAACUCGAUGAAUUUAGUAGAUCCUUUUAG
RNAcentral lists this ribosomal RNA (186 nucleotides) under Triticum aestivum (bread wheat). RNAcentral's name for it is "partial small subunit ribosomal RNA". The record is from RNAcentral. Lineage: Eukaryota; Viridiplantae; Streptophyta; Magnoliopsida; Poales; Poaceae.